UAAGUAGGAACAUUUAGUACUUUUCCCACCACUGAAUUCCAUCAGUCCUCUGAGUGUUUCUGAUUUAUGCACCACUGAUGAACUGAAAAGUUGCCACAGAUUUUCUUUUUCCUUCAGACUUUUCAGACAUCACACAUGUACCACAAUAGAAUUACUGAAUUAUGAACAGAGAAAUGAUUAUUGUCUCUUGUCAACUACUAGAAAUGUGUCACUGAGCUGAACAAGGAUGGAGACUCCUGGAUUGGUCUACGGUUCACACAACGGACAGGAUGGGAAUGGAAAUGGGUGGAUGACUCACCGCUGACACUAAAGUUCUGGGCAACAGGACACUCGUACAACAACAAUUAUUAUGCUGCAGCAUUUUGCGAUAAACAAGGAAAAUGGACAACGAGCAGAUUUAAUGAUAAGAAGAACUGGAUCUGUGAGAAAGAGCUUUCCUGUUUUCCUUGAGGACAGAGGGGUCUGUCUCUGCAGAGAGGGAUAUUACAACAGCCUGUUUUCAAAAAGCCUAAGAUGUCACAUACAUGACAACAAGGGGAAAGACGGCUCCUUUCUGUUUCAGUGUUACUUGAGUCAUUAUCAUAAGGGACAAACCUCGUCAAUAGGCAGCAGGGAUUGUGCCUACAAAAUAAAAGCGUAAGAACAUUUUUGCAGCAGUAAUUUAUGUUGUGUUUAAUUGAGAGCUUUUACUUAGAAAAGUUCUGAAGGAAAUUCAAACACACCUCUGAAAAAGGCAUCUGGAAAGGUGAGAUUGCGGAUUCCCCCGAAUGAGAAAAGCAUGAAUUUCCUCUGCAUGGAGAUACUGGGAACAGAAAAAAUAAUCAUCCAUAGGUUGAAGUGGACCAUUCGCCGGGAUGUACAGACUCCUACACAUGCUUAAUUGUGAUCGCCUAUGUAAUAUGAUUUCCUCACAAUCUUGUUGAACUUGCAGCAAGUGAGAAUUGAACACCUAACACUCCAAAUGACAGUCCUGUGCGAUACAAACUGAGCUAAUCGCACACACAGUAAGCUAAAUAUUAGAAUAUAAAUGGUCAACUGACGAUGUCCUGGCCCACCAUCUAAUGACUUGACUGUCAUACAGAUACUUCUACAGACCACUUAAUGAUGUAGUUACACUUGGGAGGAGUAAAGAUUAUGAAUGUGUUUUGGAGAGGAUACAUCUAAUGGUGAAUCAGGUUCCGAUCUCUCUUGAAUGCUUGGUUGCCUUUACGCUUGUUGUUUUUUUUUUGCUAAUCAAAAGCUACUGAAUCCACACAAGAUGGGUCAGUAAUAGUCACAUACCCUGCAUUUGUGUCAGUAAGGAAGAUUUUCUUCUCUUUUGUUUUUCUUCAUAAAAUUAAAUCAGCUAAAAUAUUUGUUUAAAAUUUUAAGUUUUUUUACCAUCAUUGAACCAAUAAAACUUGUCACGUCAUUUCAUCUACUAGACAGAA
Molecule: long non-coding RNA, 1430 nt
Organism: Micropterus dolomieu (smallmouth bass)
Lineage: Eukaryota; Metazoa; Chordata; Actinopteri; Centrarchiformes; Centrarchidae
Exons: 2
Source: RefSeq, a predicted model, not a curated record